Molecule: ribosomal RNA, 1507 nt
Filed under: Nanobdellota archaeon
Lineage: Archaea; Nanobdellati; Nanobdellota
Description: bacterial SSU rRNA
Rfam family: Archaeal small subunit ribosomal RNA
Source: RNAcentral
GCAAUUCCAGGUAAUCCUCCUGGAGGCCACUGCUAUGGGAGUCCGACAUAGCCAUGCAAGUCAGCUGGGCUUCGGCCUGGCGGCGAACGGCCUAGUAACACGUAGCCAACCUGCCCUCAGGACGGGGAUAACCUCGGGAAACUGAGGCUAAUACCCGAUAGGAGAUAGGUACUGGAAUGUCCUAUCUCCCAAAUCGUGACUUCGGUCACGGCCUGAGGAUGGGGCUGCGGCCGAUUAGGUUGUUGGUGGUGUAACGGACCACCAAGCCUACGAUCGGUAGGGGCCCUGAGAGGGGGAGCCCCAGGAAGGACACUGAGACAAGGGUCCUAGCCCUACGGGGUGCAGCAGGCACGAAUUUUCUGCAAUGCGCGAAAGCGCGACAGAGGGACUCCCAGUGCCUGUACUCUGUACAGGCUUUUGCCAAGUGUAAAAAGCUUGGCGAAUAAGGGGUGGGCAAGACGGGUGCCAGCAGCCGUGGUAACACCCGCAGCCCAAGUGGUGGCCAAUAUUAUUGGGCCUAAAGCAUCCGUAGCCGGCUCAGUAAGUCCGUGGUGAAAUCGUCUGGCUCAACCAGACGGCGUGCUGCGGAUACUGCUGAGCUUGGGACCGGAAAGGGGCAGGGGUAUUCCCAGGGUAGGGGUAAAAUCCUAUAAUCCUGGGGAGACCGCCUGUGGCGAAAGCGCCUGCCUUGGACGGGUCCGACGGUGAGGGAUGAAAGCCAGGGGAGCGAACGGGAUUAGAUACCCCGGUAGUCCUGGCCGUAAACGCUGCCCGCUAGGUGUUGCACAUCUUACGAGGAUGUGCAGUGCCGAAGUGAAGACGUUAAGCGGGCCGCCUGGGGAGUACGGUCGCAAGGCUGAAACUUAAAGGAAUAGGCGGGGGAGCACAACAAGGGGUGAAUGUGUGCGGUUCAAUUGGAUUAAACGCCGGGAACCUCACCAGGGCAGACAGCAGAAUGACGGUCAGUCUGAAGGGCUUACCUGACGCGCUGAGAGGAGGUGCAUGGCCAUCGUCAGCUCGUGCCGUGAGGUGUUGGCUUAAGUGCCAAAACGAGCGAGACCCUGGCCCUUAGUUGCUACUGGUUCCUACGGGAAUCAGGCACACUAAGGGGACUGCCCGCGUUAAGUGGGAGGAAGGUCAGGGCGACGAUAGGUCUGUAUGCCCCGAAUGCCCUGGGCUACACGCGCACUGCAAUGGCUGGGACAAAGGGCUGCGACCCCGAAAGGGGAAGCUAAUCCCACAAACCCAGUCGUAGUCCGGAUCGAGGGCUGCAACCCGCCCUCGUGAAGCCGGAAUCCCUAGUAACCGUGGUUUAGCACGCCACGGUGAAUGCGUCCCUGUUCCUUGCACUCACUGCCCGUCAACCCAUUCGAGCUGGGAGUAGGUGAGGCUCCACCAGGGUGGGAUUUUCCCAUCCGUAAUGGUGGAUUCGAACCUAAGCCCAGUGAGAGGGGGUAAGUCGACACAAGGUAGCCGUAGGGGAACCUGCGGCUGGAUCACCUCCUUU